Molecule: ribosomal RNA, 389 nt
Filed under: uncultured bacterium
Lineage: Bacteria
Description: bacterial SSU rRNA
Rfam family: Bacterial small subunit ribosomal RNA
Source: RNAcentral
GACGAACGCUGGCGGCGUGCUUAACGCAUGCAAGUCGAGCGGUAAGGCCCUUUCGGGGGUACACGAGCGGCGAACGGGUGAGUAACACGUGGGUGACCUGCCCUCAGCUCUGGGAUAAGCCUGGGAAACCGGGUCUAAUACUGGAUAUGACUCCAUGACGCAUGUUGUGGGGUGGAAAGCCUUGUGCGGCUGAGGAUGGGCCCGCGGCCUAUCAGCUUGUUGGUGGGGUGAUGGCCUACCAAGGCGACGACGGGUAGCCGGCCUGAGAGGGCGACCGGCCACACUGGGACUGAGACACGGCCCAGACUCCUACGGGAGGCAGCAGUGGGGAAUCUUGCGCAAUGGGCGAAAGCCUGACGCAGCGACGCCGCGUGAGGGAUGACGGCCUC